AUCAUAUCUCUUACCGCAUAAGUAAUUUCAAAGCUCAAAAUUAGUAAUAUGCUUUAUGCGAGUACGAGUGAUUUCUUAUGACUCCGUUAUCAGCAUCACUGAAAUUAUGCAGGUGAAAUACAUGGCUGAAAUAUUACCCGUUCGAUCAGCUCGAACUGUGAAGUCUCCUCCGUCCCUUGAUUCAUUUGGUUCCAGUCCAGGCCGCAUUGACCGUCAUAAUAUCUUAAACCAACCAAAUGGGAACGCGAGCAAAAUGGUGUAAAUACCAUAAUGUUUUCUAAUUGGACCAUUACACAUGUACUUGGAAAUGGAGAAGCAUCGACUGAAGCACAUAACAAGAAUGAAUGGGUUGAGAAAGAUGCGCCUGACGUCUACAUCAUUCUUACAGCCUUAGCCAGUGGUGUUACCGACCUCAAACGUGUCCGUUUCAGCCGAAAAGUGAGAAACAAACGUAAUAGUGGUGGUCAGAUAACAGAAGAAGAGUCUACGAACAAUACAAUAUACGAAUGGUCGACAAAACCAGUACGGAAAUGCCUCACUGAGACUCUUUUACCCCAACCAUUUCUGUGAUUUUCCCAAGCCCGAGGCAUCUGAGUGCAAAUCUUGGGAUAUAACAUAUCUUCUAUAUAUAAAGAUAAAAAAUUUAAAGUUUUGAAAGUGUUUUACGUCUUCUUUCAUUGUAGUUUGGGGGCUCUGUGGUGUUUAUUGUGAGAAGGUAGUAAAUUCUACAUGUAAAAAAUCUGUCCUCACGUCCUCACAAUGGGUUUCGAUCAGAUUUGUAGAUUCAUUGCAACAUUUGGGAAGUAAAGAACUACUACAGAUUAUUACAACCAUUUCUUUCACGGUACUCAUGAUGACUUGAGGAAAAAUGUUUCAGAAGGGGACUAGCUUUCUGCUUUUAAAUGGUCUAAGGAAUAGUGUGAAGCUUGAUCAACCUUCUGAUUUAUAACGUGAGACCGCCAAAGAUUAUAAAAGAAAACUGUUAACUAUGAUCGAUGCGGCGAAAAGACAUUACAGUGGUAGAUCUCCUGGAUAA
Molecule: long non-coding RNA, 1036 nt
Organism: Brassica oleracea var. oleracea
Lineage: Eukaryota; Viridiplantae; Streptophyta; Magnoliopsida; Brassicales; Brassicaceae
Exons: 3
Source: RefSeq, a predicted model, not a curated record